CCUACGGGUGGCAGCAGUGAGGAAUAUUGGUCAAUGGGCGGGAGCCUGAACCAGCCAAGUCGCGUGAGGGAAGACGGUCCUAUGGAUUGUAAACCUCUUUAGGCGGGGAGCAAUGCCGGGCACGCGUGCCCGGAGGGAGAGUACCCGCAGAAUAAGCAUCGGCUAACUCCGUGCCAGCAGCCGCGGUAAUACGGAGGAUGGGAGCGUUAUCCGGAUUUAUUGGGUUUAAAGGGUGCGUAGGCGGAACAUUAAGUCAGCGGUAAAAUCGAGGGGCUCAACCCCUUUAAGCCGUUGAAACUGGUGAUCUUGAGUGGGCGAGAAGUAUGCGGAAUGCGUGGUGUAGCGGUGAAAUGCAUAGAUAUCACGCAGAACUCCGAUUGCGAAGGCAGCAUACCGGCGCCCGACUGACGCUGAGGCACGAAAGCGUGGGGAUCGAACAGGAUUAGAUACCCGUGUAGUC
RNAcentral lists this ribosomal RNA (460 nucleotides) under uncultured bacterium. RNAcentral's name for it is "partial 16S ribosomal RNA". It matches the Rfam family "Bacterial small subunit ribosomal RNA", at positions 338 to 795 of the family's 1533-position model. The record is from RNAcentral.